AGAGUUUGAUCAUGGCUCAGGAUGAACGCUAGCGGUGCGCCUAACACAUGCAAGUCGAGCGCCCCCACUUAGCCUUUGAUUAGUUCAAGGGCUGUGUGGGGGAGCGGCGAACGGGUGAGUAACACGUUGGUACCUGCCCCGAACUCAGGGAUAGCCCGCCGAAAGGCGGAUUAAUACCGGAUAGUCCCGAAAGGGUAAAGAUUUUUCGGUUCGGGAGGGGCCUGCGGCCUAUCAGCUAGUUGGUAGUGUAAUAGACUACCAAGGCUAUGACGGGUAUCUGGUGUGAGAGCAUGACCAGACACAAUGGAACUGAGACACGGUCCAUACUCCUACGGGAGGCAGCAGUGAGGAAUCUUCCGCAAUGGGCGAAAGCCUGACGGAGCGACACCGCGUGAAGGAUGAAGGCCUUUUGGUUGUAAACUUCUUUUCUGGGGGAAUAAAUGAUGAAGGUACCCCAGGAAUAAGCACCGGCUAACUACGUGCCAGCAGCCGCGGUAAUACGUAGGGUGCAAGCGUUAUCCGGAAUUAUUGGGCGUAAAGCGUUCGUAGGUGGUUUGGAAAGUUUGUGGUUAAAGCUGGUCGCUCAACGAUCAAAUCGCCACGAAAACUCCCAAACUUGAGAAUAGCAGGGGCAACUGGAAUUCCACAUGUAGGGGUAAAAUCCGUUGAUAUGUGGAGGAACACCAAAAGCGAAGGCAGGUUGCUGGGCUAUUUCUGACACUGAGGAACGAAAGCGUGGGGAGCAAACAGGAUUAGAUACCCUAGUAGUCC
This 771-nucleotide ribosomal RNA is filed under the name uncultured bacterium. RNAcentral's name for it is "bacterial SSU rRNA". It matches the Rfam family "Bacterial small subunit ribosomal RNA", at positions 8 to 796 of the family's 1533-position model. The record is from RNAcentral.